This 560-nucleotide ribosomal RNA is filed under the name uncultured bacterium. RNAcentral's name for it is "bacterial SSU rRNA". It matches the Rfam family "Bacterial small subunit ribosomal RNA", at positions 777 to 1350 of the family's 1533-position model. The record is from RNAcentral.
AAUAGAUACCCGGUAGUCCACGCCGUAAACGAUGGAUGCUAGCUGUUAGGAGUAUCGACCCUUCUAGUAGCGAAGCUAACGCGUUAAGCAUCCCGCCUGGGGAGUACGAACGCAAGUUUAAAACUCAAAGGAAUUGACGGGGACCCGCACAAGUGGUGGAGCGUGUUCUUUAAUUCGAAGCUAAGCGAAGAACCUUACCAGGGCUUGACAUCCUUGGAAUCUUUCCGAAAGGAGAGAGUACUUUAUUGGACCAAGUGACAGGUGUUGCAUGGCCGUCGUCAGCUCGUGUCGUGAGAUGUUUGGUUAAGUCCAUUAACGAGCGCAACCCUUAUGAUUAGUUGAAUUUUUCUAAUCAGACUGCCUCGGUAACGGGGAGGAAGGAGGGGAUGAUGUCAGGUCAUUAUUACCCUUACGUCCUGGGCUAGAAACGCGCUACAAUGGCCGGUACAAAGGGCAGCCAACCCGGCGAGGGGGAGCAAAUCCCAUCAAAACCGGUCCCAGUUCGGAUUGCAGGCUGAAACUCGCCUGCAUGAAGCCGGAAUCACUAGUAAUCGUAGGUC